This 1017-nucleotide ribosomal RNA is filed under the name Triticum aestivum (bread wheat). Its description in RNAcentral is "partial small subunit ribosomal RNA". The record is from RNAcentral. Lineage: Eukaryota; Viridiplantae; Streptophyta; Magnoliopsida; Poales; Poaceae.
AUGAGCUUGUCUGCCGCCGGGAUCAUCAGUGCCAUCAAUGAUUGUGUCAGUUUGUUUCUGUCGGCCAAAUCUGCCAUUUCAUCUCUGCGCUCCCGAUGGAGUGGCUCACAAGAGCAAAGUCUCCAGGAUCAUGUAUUGCAAUUACAGAGUGAGGUACAACAUCUCUGUGACACUCUUCCUGCAAUGUAUCACCUCAUUAAUGGAGCAGAGUGGAGAAGCUAUGAAGACCAUGUGGCCAAGCUCCUUCCGAGUCUCAAGGAUGCUGUGUCUGAGGCCGAGGACCUUAUUGAUGAGUUCAGAUGGCAUGAGAUGAAGGUGCAAGUGGAGGGCAAUGCAAUCCAAUCUCCUUUCAUUGACUUCCUUGAUAAGGUCAUUCAUGGCAACUUCAACAAGUUGAAUGAUGUCCAGUUGAGGUUGAAUUACCUUUCGAGUGAGAUGAAGGGUAUGGGGCUUCGUGAAGUUACACAUCGCUUUGCGAAAUCAGUCAGGCCCGUGACCACCUCUUUGUUGUCAAAAGAAACAAAGAUUUUUGGUCGUGAGAAGGAGGUGCAACAGGUAUUGGGAUUUAUUAAUGUACCCACACGUCCAAAACGCAAGAGAGCAACUAGUUCAAUCAAUGCAUCAACAAGCACAUCAUCAAGCAGCCAUGUUAAUGGUGAACCAAUAAUAUCGAGUCUUCCUGUUUUGGUGGUAGCCCGAAUUGGUGGUGUUGGAAAGACCACUUUGGCCCAACAUAUCUGCAAGCAUCAACGAGUGAAGUCGCACUUCGAGCUAAUAAUGUGGAUUUGUGUCUCAGAUGACUUCGAUGAGAAGAGGUUAACUAAAGAAGCCAUAGAAUCAUGUACUGGAAAGGAGGCUAAGAUUGAUAAUUUGGAUUCUCUUCAGCAUGCUCUUUCUAACCACGUGAAAAAUAAAAGGUUAUUGAUAGUCCUUGAUGAUGUGUGGGCCAGAACUCUAGGGCGGAUGUUAAGGAUGGACCAUCAAGCAUCGCAUUGGAGUUCUAUACUUGAGAGUUAA